This 1058-nucleotide ribosomal RNA is filed under the name Klebsiella variicola. RNAcentral's name for it is "bacterial SSU rRNA". It matches the Rfam family "Bacterial small subunit ribosomal RNA", at positions 8 to 1059 of the family's 1533-position model. Lineage: Bacteria; Pseudomonadati; Pseudomonadota; Gammaproteobacteria; Enterobacterales; Enterobacteriaceae. The record is from RNAcentral.
AGAGUUUGAUCAUGGCUCAGAUUGAACGCUGGCGGCAGGCCUAACACAUGCAAGUCGAGCGGUAGCACAGAGAGCUUGCUCUCGGGUGACGAGCGGCGGACGGGUGAGUAAUGUCUGGGAAACUGCCUGAUGGAGGGGGAUAACUACUGGAAACGGUAGCUAAUACCGCAUAACGUCGCAAGACCAAAGUGGGGGACCUUCGGGCCUCAUGCCAUCAGAUGUGCCCAGAUGGGAUUAGCUGGUAGGUGGGGUAACGGCUCACCUAGGCGACGAUCCCUAGCUGGUCUGAGAGGAUGACCAGCCACACUGGAACUGAGACACGGUCCAGACUCCUACGGGAGGCAGCAGUGGGGAAUAUUGCACAAUGGGCGCAAGCCUGAUGCAGCCAUGCCGCGUGUGUGAAGAAGGCCUUCGGGUUGUAAAGCACUUUCAGCGGGGAGGAAGGCGAUGAGGUUAAUAACCUCAUCGAUGACGUUACCCGCAGAAGAAGCACCGGCUAACUCCGUGCCAGCAGCCGCGGUAAUACGGAGGGUGCAAGCGUUAAUCGGAAUUACUGGGCGUAAAGCGCACGCAGGCGGUCUGUCAAGUCGGAUGUGAAAUCCCCGGGCUCAACCUGGGAACUGCAUUCGAACUGGCAGGCUAGAGUCUUGUAGAGGGGGGUAGAAUUCCAGGUGUAGCGGUGAAAUGCGUAGAGAUCUGGAGGAAUACCGGUGGCGAAGGCGGCCCCCUGGACAAAGACUGACGCUCAGGUGCGAAAGCGUGGGGAGCAAACAGGAUUAGAUACCCUGGUAGUCCACGCUGUAAACGAUGUCGAUUUGGAGGUUGUGCCCUUGAGGCGUGGCUUCCGGAGCUAACGCGUUAAAUCGACCGCCUGGGGAGUACGGCCGCAAGGUUAAAACUCAAAUGAAUUGACGGGGGCCCGCACAAGCGGUGGAGCAUGUGGUUUAAUUCGAUGCAACGCGAAGAACCUUACCUGGUCUUGACAUCCACAGAACUUUCCAGAGAUGGAUUGGUGCCUUCGGGAACUGUGAGACAGGUGCUGCAUGGCUGUCGUCAGC